UCGUCCAAGAGUAAAAAAUCACGUUUAAUCCACCAUUUUUAAGCUUUUCACGUUUAAUAAAACCCACCAGGUGUUCUCAUCGAUGGAUACACACAAAAUUGGAUCAAAAGGGGUGAUUACCCAGAACUGUCUCACCACUUAAAGGUCAAAAUUAAUUAUUCAAUCUCAUCGGAUUAAAGCGCCACACAUCAUAAAAUUAUAAAUAAACGUCUAAUUAAAUUUA
Onthophagus taurus is the source of this 223-nucleotide non-coding RNA. The record is from RefSeq and is a predicted model, not a curated record. Lineage: Eukaryota; Metazoa; Arthropoda; Insecta; Coleoptera; Scarabaeidae.